Molecule: non-coding RNA, 109 nt
Organism: Otolemur garnettii (small-eared galago)
Lineage: Eukaryota; Metazoa; Chordata; Mammalia; Primates; Galagidae
Source: Rfam
UGUUUGCUUCAGCAGCAUAAUACUAAAGUUGGGACAGUGCAGAGAAGAUUAGCAUGGUUUCUGCACAGGGAUGACACACAAAUUCAUGAAGCAAGUAUUCCAUUAUUUU